CUUCAUUGGCCAACUACAGACUGCAGGACUGGAUUCAGCACAACUGUCACAUAGUGUUAUAGCCUGAACUGCUGUAGCGCCAAAAUAAAUAGGCUUUAAUGUGCCAGUUAACAUGCCAGUCUUUCAGGAACAGCAUGGUUCUGCUACAAGACCAUCUGUGUCCAAGCCAAAGUGAACCUGCUGUGCAGCGGGACUGAACUGCGUUUCAGAAGUCCAAUUACGACACCCGACCAUUUCCCGUCACAGUUCUGUGGAGGCCGGACCCGACAUCGACAGCGCGGACGCAAGGAUUUUGCCCCACGUUUCUAGCAUGGGGCGGCCAUCUUGAAGUGCCUCCUACCGGCAUCUUUUCUGCGAUCAAUUCAAGCCUGACUGUGUGGAACAUAGAGUGUGUGAACCCCUCCAACGACCCCCAACACUAUUUAUGAACGCAGACCUCGACACAAGACAGUGCCUGUCUAAAAUAACGUCCUAUGUCAGGAAUUUAGUCUGGCAGCUUACGAACAGCGAACAUCAGUCAUUAUAUGAUUGAGAUCAGGGCGGUUUAAGUCUCAGGCUGAAACCUCUUCAAACAGCUGGAUUGGAGAAAUCUGAGCCGCACAUGUGCUGGAUGGGAGGAGGGUAUUGUGUCCACAAAUGUAUUCAUACCCUACAUUCACGCUGCUGCUGCUCACACUGAGUGCUAACAGCUGAAAUGCCACCAGUAAGAUAUGCUGCUUAAACCAUUUAGACACACUGGUGCCAGGUUUCUCAUCUCGCCCGGACACAUUGGUAAGAACCAGUCCAAAAGAAUUUCAGUGACUGCCGUAAAAAUGUACUAAAAGCUCUCCUGUUUACUUGUGA
Synchiropus splendidus (mandarinfish) is the source of this 843-nucleotide long non-coding RNA. RefSeq lists it as uncharacterized. The record is from RefSeq and is a predicted model, not a curated record. Lineage: Eukaryota; Metazoa; Chordata; Actinopteri; Syngnathiformes; Callionymidae. The transcript has 3 exons.